Molecule: ribosomal RNA, 253 nt
Filed under: uncultured bacterium
Lineage: Bacteria
Also listed under: 1 other name
Description: partial 16S ribosomal RNA
Rfam family: Bacterial small subunit ribosomal RNA
Source: RNAcentral
UACGAAGGGGGCAAGCGUUGUUCGGAUUUACUGGGCGUAAAGGGCGCGUAGGCGGAACGACAAGUCAGAGGUGAAAGCCCUGGGCUCAACCCGGGAAUUGCCUUUGGGACUGCCGUUCUAGAGUUCGGAAGAGGAUGGCGGAAUACCCAGUGUAGAGGUGAAAUUCGUAGAUAUUGGGUAGAACACCGGUGGCGAAGGCGGCCAUCUGGUCCGACACUGACGCUGAGGCGCGAAAGCGUGGGGAGCAAACAGG